RNAcentral lists this ribosomal RNA (494 nucleotides) under uncultured bacterium. RNAcentral's name for it is "partial 16S ribosomal RNA". It matches the Rfam family "Bacterial small subunit ribosomal RNA", at positions 28 to 507 of the family's 1533-position model. The record is from RNAcentral.
GACGAACGCUGGCGGCGUGCUUAACACAUGCAAGUCGAACGGAAAGGCCUGCUUUCCCUUGUGGAUUGCGGGUACUCGAGUGGCGAACGGGUGAGUAACACGUGAGUGAUCUGCCCCCAACUUGGGGAUAAGCCUGGGAAACUGGGUCUAAUUCCCGAUAGGACUGAAGGGUGGUGCCUGUGGUGGAAAACGAGUUUCUAGUGGUUGGGGAUGAGCUCGCGGCCUAUCAGCUUGUUGGUGGGGUAAUGGCCUACCAAGGCGGCGACGGGUAGCCGGCCUGGGAGGGUGGACGGCCACAUUGGGACUGAGAUACGGCCCAGACUCCUACGGGAGGCAGCAGUGGGGAAUAUUGCACAAUGGGCGGAAGCCUGAUGCAGCGACGCCGCGUGGGGGAUGACGGCCUUCGGGUUGUAAACUCCUUUCGACCGCGAGGAAGCCACCUGGUUGGAAGGGUGGUGACGGUAGUGGUAGAAGAAGCACCGGCUAACUACGUG